This is a long non-coding RNA of Anser brachyrhynchus (Pink-footed goose), 1549 nucleotides long. Lineage: Eukaryota; Metazoa; Chordata; Aves; Anseriformes; Anatidae. The record is from Ensembl.
UGUCUAGGAGAAUCUGAAGACUAGGAUAGACUUCUCAAGGCCACCCCACAAUCUGUUUCCACAUCCUACUCCAAGAGCAGCUCAACAGAAAGCCUCCAAAGGCCCCAGGCAGUUGCACAGCUGGCUUGCCAAGUCUGAGAGCCCAGAGAUCAAAAAGAAUAUGAAUCUUAAAAGGACCUCGUUGGAACAAGAAAGGAAGGAGUGGGUUGUGAGCAGCUGUCUGGAGAUGAGUGGAAGAGCCUGAAAAAGGAAGGGAAUUCAGCUGAGCCCAAAGAUGGAGAAAACUGAACAGACUGCAAAAAUGUAGGCUGAAGCUCACUGCUGCACAGUGCUUAUUUCAGCAGCAGGUGGAAGUAAAUCCUAGUGCACCUGGGAAUAUGGUAACUAGAAAUAUCUGAUUACCAUAAGGACUUGCACUGAUACCCAGGCUUUUGGCAGGGUUUAAUUUUCAGUGAUCAAGGAAGAAGGCAAAAUCUAAAACAGGAUUUUGGUGCUGAAAUUCCGUUACGGUUUGAGAGUCAGCUUUGUUGCUGUUCUAAUAUUUCCCCGAAUUAGUCCCACUGUUUUUUCUAUGCAGUAGAGAAAUUUAUUCUCAGCUUUACUCAGAAGGAUCAGUAAAGUGCUAAUGUCUUUGUCCAGUAACAUCCAUGCUAUUGAUUAUGUUGCAGUGCAGUUGUAGGGCAAGGAAAGUUUUUUUUUUAAGCAGGAAUUGGUUCUAGGAGAUGCCUAUUCAAGAAAGCAAAGCUGACUGUUACUUACUUGAAAGGAACUAAAACCUAUAGUGAACUAAGCUAGGCGACCAGUCAUUUUGCAGAUGGUGCAUUGUUUGUAUACCCAGUAAAGAAACAACUUAAUGUCAGUUGUAGGAAGCUUCCGAUUUCUUCCUCUGAAUGAAAAUGAAAUAUUUGGAAACUAAAGAACAUCCAGUUAUGUGCUCUGAGUCCAUGCCUUAGCCUCAUGAAUAUAAGGCGUUUAGGAUUUAACAGUAUUCUUUUAGCAUAUUUUUUCCAGAAUUAAGAUAUCAAACCAACAAAUGAUUUGAAUAACCGACAAGGAGCUCUACUCAUGGCAGUGUGCGCAGUUUUUUAAAUUUUCAUUUGCUGUAGGUUUGGCUCACUCAGACAUCAGUUUAAUACCAUAACAUGCUUGUGCUUUAACACCGUCUGUCUUAACAUUCCCAAUAGUGACUACCGGCUCUAAUUCCUCAUCUAUUCUUUGCUCCUUUUAUUUAUUUUCUGUUGUUACAGCUAUAAACUCAAAUUUUAACAACGGCUUAAAAUCCACAGAACUUGGGACUUAGUCAUCCUUUCUGUCUUCAUUGCAAAAUGUUUUCUGUUUGCUUCUCUCAUUCCUUUGCAUUGUAGAUCAGGUAGGUGUGUUUUAGGUCUCCCAUCUACCAGAAACUAGAAAUGAAUGUGAAAGUACAAGAUAUGCACUUGUCUUUCUCAGGAGACCUUUUGCACCAUGGGAAAUGGAGUACUUGCAUUUUCUGGCUCCAUUAAUGUUUUUCCUUAAUAAAAGAUAAAACAAUAAUAAUAAAAAUAAUAAA